AACGUAGGAGACAAACGUUAUCCGGAGUUACUGGGCGUAAAGGGCGUGUAGGCGGUUAGUUAAGUCUGGCGUGAAAGCCCCCGGCUCAACUGGGGAGGGUCACGCGAUACUGAUCGACUCGAAGGCAGGAGAGGGUAGUGGAAUUCCCGGUGUAGUGGUGAAAUGCGUAGAUAUCGGGAGGAACACCAGUGGCGAAGGCGACUACCUGGCCUGUUCUUGACGCUGAGGCGCGAAAGCUAGGGGAGCAAACGGG
RNAcentral lists this ribosomal RNA (253 nucleotides) under uncultured bacterium. Its description in RNAcentral is "partial 16S ribosomal RNA". It matches the Rfam family "Bacterial small subunit ribosomal RNA", at positions 524 to 776 of the family's 1533-position model. The record is from RNAcentral.